Molecule: long non-coding RNA, 926 nt
Filed under: Homo sapiens (human)
Lineage: Eukaryota; Metazoa; Chordata; Mammalia; Primates; Hominidae
Description: HSALNT0049343
Source: RNAcentral
CAGGAUUCCAAAGCCUGAAUGGCAUAAGUGGAAAGAAGAAUUUGGGAUGCAUAUCAAGGGAGUCUUGCAAAAAGGUGAUCUAGAACUAAUUCAUUCAUUUUUCUUUCCCUUUUUUCCACUCAUUUAUUCAUUUCAUUCAUUCAAAAAGCACAUGUUGCCAGGCACUGAGCCAUGCCCCAUGGAGCUCAGUCUACUGGGGAAGAUGGAGAGAGAUGACUGAUCAGAGCUGGGAUGGAGUGUUCACCAGGUGCCAUGUGGGAACCAUCUCUGAGGACAGUCUUCUUUCUGAUCAGCAAGGCUCGAGGGUCGCUAAUGAUAAUCAAAAGAGUCCCACUUGUCCUGCUCUCCCUCUGCAUCCACUUCUACCACACUGAUAAGUAGAAAGAAAGAAAAGUCAACAACCUCAGGAUGCUGGCGACGUCAUGCAACCCCUUGAUGAGUUUUUCCAAGCUGAAGACAGUCCUCUCAGCUGACACAGCAAGGACAUAUAUGCGUGCAUGCUAAUCUAUGUAAGUAUACCUAUCAAUAAAUAGUUCCAUAUGUAAAUAUCUAUACUAAGAUAACAUGUGUUCAUAUUGAUGUCUCCAACUCUAGUCUGUUACCACGGGCAUCACUGUUGUCUCUCUUCCUUGCUUAACUGUGCAUUCCCACUCCAACAGUGAGAUAUCUUGUUCCUGCCAUUUGCCAUCCAUUUACUUAAUUGUUCAGUUUUAAUAUACAUGUAUAGCAGUAUUAGAAUUGUUAACCUGUGUUUCUUGGGAAACAACUUUAUCAACUAGAGCAGUGGUCCCCAACCUUUUUGGCACCUGGGACCAGUUUCAUGCAAGAUAACUUUUCCACGAACCAGGGGAGAGGGGAUCAUUUCAGGAUGAUUCAAGUGCAUCACAUGUAUUUUUAUUAUUGUUACAGUGUAAUAUGUAAUGAAA